CCCGCUGAACUUAAGCAUAUCAAUANAGCGGAGGAAAAGAAACUAACAAGGAUUCCCCUAGUAACUGCGAGUGAAGCGGGAAAAGCUCAAAUUUAAAAUCUGGCGGUCUUGCGGCCGUCCGAGUUGUAAUCUGGAGAAGCGUUUAUCCGCGUCGGACCGUGUACAAGUCUUCUGGAAGGGAGCGUCGUAGAGGGUGAGAAUCCCGUCUUUGACACGGACAACCGGUGCUUUUGUGAUGCGCUCUCGAAGAGUCGAGUUGUUUGGGAAUGCAGCUCAAAAUGGGUGGUAAAUUCCAUCUAAAGCUAAAUAUUGGCGAGAGACCGAUAGCGAACAAGUACCGUGAGGGAAAGAUGAAAAGCACUUUGGAAAGAGAGUUAAACAGUACGUGAAAUUGUUGAAAGGGAAACGUUUGAAGUCAGUCGCGUCGGCCGAGACUCAACCUUGCUUCUGCUCGGUGCACUUCUCGGUUGACGGGUCAGCAUCAAUUUUGACCGCCGGAUAAAGGUCGGGGGAAUGUGGCAUCCUUCGGGAUGUGUUAUAGACCUCGAUUCGGAUACGGCGAUUGGGAUUGAGGAACUCGGCGCUUUGCGUCCAGGAUGCUGGCAUAAUGGCUUUAAGCGACCCGUCUUGAAACACGG
This 638-nucleotide ribosomal RNA is filed under the name uncultured fungus. RNAcentral's name for it is "eukaryotic LSU rRNA". It matches the Rfam family "Eukaryotic large subunit ribosomal RNA", at positions 24 to 664 of the family's 3401-position model. Lineage: Eukaryota; Fungi. The record is from RNAcentral.